CGCACGGGUGAGUAACGCGUGGAUAAUCUACCCUUAAGAUGGGGAUAACGGCUGGAAACGGUCGCUAAUACCGAAUACGCUCCCGAUUUUAUCAUUGGGGGGAAAGAUGGCCUCUGCUUGCAAGCUAUCGCUUAAGGAUAAGUCCGCGUCCCAUUAGCUAGUUGGCGGGGUAACGGCCCACCAAGGCAACGAUGGGUAGCCGGUCUGAGAGGAUGACCGGCCACACUGGAACUGGAACACGGUCCAG
RNAcentral lists this ribosomal RNA (247 nucleotides) under uncultured bacterium. RNAcentral describes it as "partial 16S ribosomal RNA". It matches the Rfam family "Bacterial small subunit ribosomal RNA", at positions 99 to 334 of the family's 1533-position model. The record is from RNAcentral.